AUCUAAAUAGUUUAAGUGAAAAUGUUGGUUUGUGGUGCCGAUGAUAUAGGUUUCUAUUUUGGAUU
RNAcentral lists this transfer RNA (65 nucleotides) under Microcerotermes sp. SB TB-2017. RNAcentral's name for it is "tRNA-His". It matches the Rfam family "tRNA". From Rfam's summary of the family: Transfer RNA (tRNA) molecules are approximately 80 nucleotides in length. Their secondary structure includes four short double-helical elements and three loops (D, anti-codon, and T loops). RNAcentral also lists the same sequence under 2 other names. Lineage: Eukaryota; Metazoa; Arthropoda; Insecta; Blattodea; Termitidae. The record is from RNAcentral.